UACGAAGGGGGCUAGCGUUACUCGGAUUGACUGGGCGUAAAGGGCGCGUAGGCGGCUUGUACAGUCAGACGUGAAAUCCCUCGGCUUAACCGGGGAACUGCGUCUGAUACUGGAUGGCUUGAGGUUGGGAGAGGGAUGCGGAAUUCCAGGUGUAGCGGUGAAAUGCGUAGAGAUCGGAAAGAACACCAACGGCGAAAGCACUCUGCUGGGCCGACACUGACACUGAGAGACGAAAGCUAGGGGAGCGAAUGGG
This 253-nucleotide ribosomal RNA is filed under the name uncultured bacterium. RNAcentral's name for it is "partial 16S ribosomal RNA". It matches the Rfam family "Bacterial small subunit ribosomal RNA", at positions 524 to 776 of the family's 1533-position model. The record is from RNAcentral.